AUGGUAUUGCGCGCGUGACCGUACACUGUCUCGACUGUCAAGCUUUCAAAUAGAUAUACGAAUGUCAUAGAUGUGUGCUAGAAUUGCUCACUUGCUAUAUACCAGGCAGAAGUAAUCGCCUGGUCAUGUGGAAAACUGACGUGACCGAUCAUGUAAUGACAGAAGGAACACGUCUCCGGGAACAACGUACUUUCUAAAUGUAUGCGCGUCGCGUACGCGCAUGCGCUGAGAAAGUAAAAUGAGAUACUUUCUCUACGUGGUCGCAAUUCUGAAGGAUGGCCUCAUGAAAUAAAAGAAGGAAACAUGUCGUAACCAACAGCUAGAGAAACCGUUCAAAACUCUACAUGCAUGUAUGUAUGCUUAUUAAUGGAAAAUUAAAGCACAACACAUUUGGAAUGGUGUUUCUCCGUCAUCACAAAUGGAUCGUACCUAAAAAUAAACUCUUAAUGGAACAACCAUUAUAACAUCCUGGUAUCUUCUGAUAUUAAAAGAUGAACAUUUUCACAAUCUUAAAAAGUAUCAUGUUAAUUUUAAAUUGUAAAUCAAUGUGAAAAGAAAGAGACACGAAUGAAAUAAAAAAUAGAGGGAGGCAAAAUGUGAUCAAAUUGCGGUAAAAUAAUUGACUUUAUGCUUCAACUCAUAACAUGCAACCAUGUAGCAAAUUAUUAUUACAUGGUGUAACAUACGUUCCUGAGCAACAGUAAGAAAGUAAUUUACGUUGCGCGUGAACGUUGGCCACGUGCCAACUCAAUUACAGACCCUCAAAAGAAAAACUUCAACCAUCCCACUUCAACACUUCUUCUAUUCAAUUUACAUUAAUAAGGAUUUUCGAAAUAUUUUCACUAGAAAAGCGAAGAAACGUAUUUCGCAUAGUGAAAGCUUUAUUAAGUUAAUGGAUGGCGCUAAUAAAAAAAAAAAAAAUCGAUAUCGAUCAAUCUAAAAUCAUCGAAUCUCCUCUAUGGAAAGUUUAACGUUAAUAAUUGCGAAAGCUAAGAAGAUAAGUAAGAAUGAAAUAACAUGAAGAAACGUGACGAUGCAUCAGGAAGAUGGGAAAUCAUUAACCUUGCUUAUUCGAGCCAACGGGUCGUGGAAUUUGUAUGCGUCAUAGGAUAUGCGGGCAUCUUAUGUGACGCUUAAAGAGACGCGAGAAUUAUAAUGCAUUGCUACACGUUCAUCUUGCAAACGCAGUGACAAUGCAUUCCUUUAAAACUACCGAAGAUAAUGGACUACUAUAUUGGAUCAUACAUCUACAAUUAAAUUUAAGGAUAUUUCAAAAUAAUAAAUUACGAAAUUUCAGUGUAUCAUAAAAAAGCUUUCCUGCUACAUUUGUAUCACAUUAUAUAUAAUUAUACAAAAUGAUUCAAUUAUAUACAUAUAUUACAUUAAAAUUUAAUCUCUAUAUAUACACUA
Long non-coding RNA from Apis laboriosa (Himalayan honeybee), 1410 nucleotides. RefSeq lists it as uncharacterized. The record is from RefSeq and is a predicted model, not a curated record. The transcript is spliced from 4 exons. NCBI's taxonomy places the organism in Eukaryota, Metazoa, Arthropoda, Insecta, Hymenoptera, Apidae.